Molecule: ribosomal RNA, 453 nt
Filed under: uncultured bacterium
Lineage: Bacteria
Description: partial 16S ribosomal RNA
Rfam family: Bacterial small subunit ribosomal RNA
Source: RNAcentral
GAUGAACGCUGACAGAAUGCUUAACACAUGCAAGUCUACUUGAACUUCGGUUUGGGUGGCGGACGGGUGAGUAACGCGUAAAGAACUUGCCUCACAGAUAGGGACAACAUUUGGAAACGAAUGCUAAUACCUGAUAUUAUGAUUUUAGGGCAUCCUAGAAUUAUGAAAGCUAUAUGCACUGUGAGAGAGCUUUGCGCCCCAUUAGCUAGUUGGAGAGGUAACGGCUCACCAAGGCGAUGAUGGGUAGCCGGCCUGAGAGGGUGAUCGGCCACAAGGGGACUGAGACACGGCCCUUACUCCUACGGGAGGCAGCAGUGGGGAAUAUUGGACAAUGGACCAAGAGUCUGAUCCAGCAAUUCUGUGUGCACGAUGAAGUUUUUCGGAAUGUAAAGUGCUUUCAGUUGGGAAGAAAAAAAUGACGGUACCAACAGAAGAAGUGACGGCUAAAUACGU